GAAAUGCGAUACUUGGUGUGAAUUGCAGAAUCCCGUGAACCAUCGAGUCUUUGAACGCAAGUUGCGCCCGAAGCCAUCCGGCCGAGGGCACGUCUGCCUGGGCGUCACGCACGCCGUCGCCCCUUUCCCGCCCUGCGCCUUCCCCCCAGGGGACGGGCGCGCGGGGGGUGGGGCGGAACUUGGCCCCCCGUGCCCGUGAGGGCGCGGCCGGCCCAAAAAGAGGGAUCCCGGUGGCAGCGGUCACGGCCGGUGGUGGUUGUACCCAAAGCACAUUCGCGUCCCGGCGAGCGCCGCCUCACCGUCAGGAAUGCCCCUCGCGACCCCCGAGCGACGCCCCAGGGCGCCGCCCACGACGCGACCCCAGGUCAGGCGGGACUACCCGCUGAGUUUAA
This 392-nucleotide unclassified non-coding RNA is filed under the name uncultured fungus. Its description in RNAcentral is "sequence contains ITS1". The stretch from base 1 to 107 matches the Rfam family "5.8S ribosomal RNA", at positions 50 to 154 of the family's 154-position model. The record is from RNAcentral. Lineage: Eukaryota; Fungi.